GCAGUAGCCACGGUAAUACAGAGGGUGCGAGCGUUAAUCGGAUUUACUGGGCGUAAAGCGUGCGUAGGCGGCUUCUUAAGUCGGAUGUGAAAUCCCUGAGCUUAACUUAGGAAUUGCAUUCGAUACUGGGAAGCUAGAGUAUGGGAGAGGAUGGUAGAAUUCCAGGUGUAGCGGUGAAAUGCGUAGAGAUCUGGAGGAAUACCGAUGGCGAAGGCAGCCAUCUGGCCUAAUACUGACGCUGAGGUACGAAAGCAUGGGGAGCAAACAGGAUUAGAUACCCGUGUAGUCCCUGUCUCUUAUAC
Molecule: ribosomal RNA, 302 nt
Filed under: uncultured bacterium
Lineage: Bacteria
Description: partial 16S ribosomal RNA
Rfam family: Bacterial small subunit ribosomal RNA
Source: RNAcentral